Long non-coding RNA from Camelus dromedarius (Arabian camel), 426 nucleotides. RefSeq lists it as uncharacterized. The transcript has 3 exons. NCBI's taxonomy places the organism in Eukaryota, Metazoa, Chordata, Mammalia, Artiodactyla, Camelidae. The record is from RefSeq and is a predicted model, not a curated record.
GAUCAGAGAGGUUAAGGAACUGGCGCAAAUUCACACAGCUAGUGAAAGAGGGAGUCUGCACUGACUCCAGAUUCCCCUUCGAGGAACUUAUCCUGCAGGUGCUCUUGCUCUCAUGCAGCAAGAGAGAUGUACAAAGUUGUUUCUCGAAGCACCUUCUGUGAUGGCGAGACAGGAAGCAAGCAGAUAUCCAUCAAAAGAAGGCUGGCUAAAAUCCUCAGAAGAGUAGCCUCCGCCUGCCAUCUCCAGGUUCCUCUCUCCCAUUCUCUCACCAGUCCACUCCACUCAGCCUCUGGCCUCCGCCGUUCCACUGAAACUGCCCCCGUCAUGUCAAGGUCACCAAGGGCCUGCGUGAAGCUAAGUCCACUGGUCACAUCGUCCUCUUGCCUGGCUCUCAGAAGCAUUUGACACCACCCACUGCUCCCACCU